Molecule: ribosomal RNA, 253 nt
Filed under: uncultured bacterium
Lineage: Bacteria
Description: partial 16S ribosomal RNA
Rfam family: Bacterial small subunit ribosomal RNA
Source: RNAcentral
UACGAAGGGGGCUAGCGUUGCUCGGAAUCACUGGGCGUAAAGCGCACGUAGGCGGGUUUUUAAGUCAGGGGUGAAAUCCUGGAGCUCAACUCCAGAACUGCCUUUGAUACUGGGAAGCUUGAGUCCGGGAGAGGUGAGUGGAACUCCGAGUGUAGAGGUGAAAUUCGUAGAUAUUCGGAAGAACACCAGUGGCGAAGGCGGCUCACUGGCCCGGUACUGACGCUGAGGUGCGAAAGCGUGGGGAGCAAACAGG